AUUGAACGCUGGCGGCAGGCCUAACACAUGCAAGUCGAGCGAGAAAGGCCUUCGGGCUGAGUACAGCGGCGGACGGGUGAGUAACGCGUAGGAAUCUACCUGGUAGUGGGGGACAACAUGGGGAAACUCAUGCUAAUACCGCAUACGCCCUAUGGGGGAAAGCGGGGGACCUUCGGGCCUCGCGCUAUCAGAUGAGCCUGCGUAGGAUUAGCUUGUUGGUGUGGUAAAGGCUCACCAAGGCGACGAUCCUUAGCUGGUCUGAGAGGAUGAUCAGCCACACUGGAACUGAGACACGGUCCAGACUCCUACGGGAGGCAGCAGUGGGGAAUAUUGCGCAAUGGGCGAAAGCCUGACGCAGCCAUGCCGCGUGUGUGAAGAAGGCCUUAGGGUUGUAAAGCACUUUCAAUUGGGAAGAAAGGUUGCGUGUU
This 428-nucleotide ribosomal RNA is filed under the name uncultured bacterium. RNAcentral describes it as "bacterial SSU rRNA". It matches the Rfam family "Bacterial small subunit ribosomal RNA", at positions 30 to 461 of the family's 1533-position model. The record is from RNAcentral.